GGUCUGAGAAUAAGAAAUUGAUGAGAAUUACCCAGAGUGAUGAGGCUGUUUAUAAUACACCUAUGAGCACCCGGCUGAUGGAGUGGCAACCCUUUCAACUGCUCAGACAGAACUGCUUGGCCAAGGAGAAGAGUGCUGGCUCUCUCACUAAGGUGAAGUUCCAGUACAAGAAGAAAGAAUCAAGCACCCCUGUGCCUUGAUUCACGAAGAUCUGACCACUAUCUUUUGUCAGGCUGUGGCAGCAUGAAGGUUGGGAUCUUUCUCACGCACUGCACUGCUUAGAGCACAAAGCCACCACCAGAGAGAGCUAUUCCAGAUCUUUUGGUCAGAGAACACAAAGCUUGGAUUCAAGUACUGAAACAAACCUGUGGCUGUGUACUCAGUUACUCUCAGUGGUUCAACACUACAUACAUCUGAUAACGUUGCAAGUCAAGGCAAAAGUCCUGCUGAAGUGAUGCAGGGAAGUUUUCUAAAG
This is a long non-coding RNA of Neopsephotus bourkii (Bourke's parrot), 475 nucleotides long. RefSeq lists it as uncharacterized. The transcript has 3 exons. Lineage: Eukaryota; Metazoa; Chordata; Aves; Psittaciformes; Psittacidae. The record is from RefSeq and is a predicted model, not a curated record.